ACCAUCCUAAGGUAGCGAAAUUCCUUGUCGGGUAAGUUCCGACCUGCACGAAUGGAGUAACGACUUCCCUACUGUCUCAACCAUGAACUCGGUGAAAUUGCAGUACGAGUAAAGAUGCUCGUUUCGCGCAGCAGGACGGAAAGACCCCGUGACCUUUACUAUAGUUUGGUAUUGGUGUUUGGGUUGGCUUGUGUAGGAUAGGUGGGAGACUGUGAAGCCGUCACGCUAGUGGUGGUGGAGUCGUUGUUGAAAUACCACUCUGGUCAAUCUGGAUGUCUAACUUCGGGCCAUGAUCUGGUUCAGGGACAGUGCCUGAUGGGUAGUUUAACUGGGGCGGUUGCCUCCUAAAGUGUAACGGAGGCGCCCAAAGGUUCCCUCAGCCUGGUUGGCAAUCAGGUGUUGAGUGUAAGUGCACAAGGGAGCUUGACUGUGAGAGUGGCGACUCGAGCAGGGACGAAAGUCGGGACUAGUGAUCCGGCAGUGGCUUGUGGAAGCGCUGUCGCUCAACGGAUAAAAGGUACCUCGGGGAUAACAGGCUGAUCUUGCCCAAGAGUCCAUAUCGACGGCAUGGUUUGGCACCUCGAUGUCGGCUCGUCGCAUCCUGGGGCUGGAGUCGGUCCCAAGGGUUGGGCUGUUCGCCCAUUAAAGCGGUACGCGAGCUGGGUUCAGAACGUCGUGAGACAGUUCGGUCCCUAUCCGCUGCGCGCGUUGGAGAAUUGAGAAAGGCUGUCCUUAGUACGAGAGGACCGGGACGGACGAACCUCUGGUAUGUCAGUUGUACCGCCAGGUGCAUGGCUGAUUGGCUACGUUCGGGAGGGAUAACCGCUGAAGGCAUCUAAGCGGGAAGCCUGUUUCGAGAUGAGUUCUCCUGGCACUCUUUGUGGUGUGUGAGGCUCCUUAGAGAUGAUGAGGUUGAUAGGCCGGGUAUGGAAGCGUUGUAAGGCGUGGAGUUGACUGGUACUAAUAGGCCGAAGACUUAUUCAC
This 984-nucleotide ribosomal RNA is filed under the name human metagenome. RNAcentral's name for it is "bacterial LSU rRNA". It matches the Rfam family "Bacterial large subunit ribosomal RNA", at positions 1945 to 2925 of the family's 2925-position model. The record is from RNAcentral.